UACGUAGGGGGCCAGCGUUGCUCGGAAUUACUGGGCGUAAAGGGCGCGUAGGCGGAUAGUCAAGUCAAGUGUGAAAUUCCGGAGCUCAACUCCGGAGCGGCACUUGAAACUGAUUGUCUAUAGAGGGAUGGCGGAGAAAACGGAAUUCCACGUGUAGCGGUGAAAUGCGUAGAUAUGUGGAAGAACACCAGUGGCGAAAGCGGUUUUCUAGCUAUUUCCUGACGCUGGGGCGCGAGAGCAUGGGGAGCAAACAGG
Molecule: ribosomal RNA, 255 nt
Filed under: uncultured bacterium
Lineage: Bacteria
Description: partial 16S ribosomal RNA
Rfam family: Bacterial small subunit ribosomal RNA
Source: RNAcentral